GUUGGGUUGGGCUAAAGUUUUGGCCCAAUAAGAGUGCUCUGUCGGUUGCUCAUCAUCGCCACCGUCUAAGUUCCUCCGUUUCCAGGCGAAAAUGUCACGGAAGAAGCAAGUUAUGGCGGCGGGAAUGGUUGCCGUGGUGGCAGGAUCGCAUCCGUGGAACUCAUUGAUCCAAGCUCUACUUCUGCUAUCACUAUCGUUUCCGGCGGCGCUUACAGACCAGGAGCAAGAUGAGGCAGCAUAUUAGCUGAGCUGAGCUGAGCUUACUAUCUAAUUUGAAGGUUCUCUUGUAGUUCGAGAACGACUUGGGAUGAUCUUUGCUGUUAAUCGCGAGGUGUUGAUUGAUCCCCAUAGCGAAACCUAUAUGGCCUACACUGGAGCAGAUCCUUAUUAAGAUAAAAUACCAAGUUGGAAGUGGAAAAUUUUCUUAUUUGGCUUAUAAGUUCCAAUGCUUGAUUUCAAUUUGGUAUGUUUAGCAUUGAGUCAUUUAUUUACUUUGGCUGAUCAGUAAAUUUGGUAUGUUUAGCAUCAGUUUCUAGUCAUUUAUAAGCUUUGCCUGAUUAGUAAAGUUUCUGUGUUUAGCAUUGGUUUGAGUCAUUUCGGUGUGGCUUGAUUUUUUUUUCGUUUGCACGGAGAUAUUAUGGAGGAGUUUUGCUUGGAGUCACAGCUCAAGUUAUCGACAUUCCUCUUAGCUGUUGAUAUAAUUCAUCUUUCUAGUGGCAUUGCUACAUGAAGUUUACAUUGCCAUGCUUUGAAUACACAUCCGCAGACAGUUCUGGGAUCCUCAACACUGCCAGAGCAUAUUCUUAUUAGAAACACAUGGAAGGAACAGUCAGAGAUUGAUGUCUCCUCAGGAUGGACUUUGUGUCCUCUUUGUCUCAGGUUUGUAAGAGAGACUGUUGUGGAAAGCAGCUCGAAUAUUGAAGAAUUUGGCAAUGCUGACUGAGAGUCAUAGUCAAAAGUAUGUAUACUAAUCAAUAAGGUUAAUUCUUUAUCUAGGAUUAACCUUAUUGAUGAAGAAAAACAAUUCCAGAAAACGAAGAAAUUUGACCAAAGUUGCAAUAGUCGAAAGCAAAUCUAUGUAUUUGCCAUUAGGUUGUUCCAGACCAUGUUUUGGAAGAGAAUACACUAGUUUGUUGUAGGUCUUCUUGCUAGCAUAAAUUAAGGAAUCAACAAAUUGCUAGCAUAAAUUGCAAGAAAUUAACUUUCAUGUAACGUACAUAUAUAAGAUUUUGUUGUUUUAAAAGC
RNA transcript from Brassica oleracea var. oleracea, 1245 nucleotides. RefSeq lists it as uncharacterized. Lineage: Eukaryota; Viridiplantae; Streptophyta; Magnoliopsida; Brassicales; Brassicaceae. The record is from RefSeq and is a predicted model, not a curated record. The transcript has 7 exons.